This is a long non-coding RNA of Columba livia (rock pigeon), 3440 nucleotides long. RefSeq lists it as uncharacterized. The transcript is spliced from 4 exons. The record is from RefSeq and is a predicted model, not a curated record. NCBI's taxonomy places the organism in Eukaryota, Metazoa, Chordata, Aves, Columbiformes, Columbidae.
GUGAAUAAAAAUUCUUUAAUACCUAUGUAGCAGUUAUAAGUAAUGGAUGUAAUUUGUCUGUAUUGGAAAAAUAUCUGUGUCCUAAAGCUUAUUUGUUUUUCCCCAGUUAAAUCAAUUGAUCCUACUACCUACUUCUCUAUGCAAACAUUGCUUGAGAAGAUAAUUGUAACAAUUAUUAACAGUUUGCAGUUCUGCACCUGUGAUCUGAUUAAAUAGUUUUAAAGACAUCCAGUUCAUUUUUUGGAAAAUUUAAAGAGAAUAUUUAUUCUAGUCAUGAUGAGCUGGCAUUGUAGUAGUUUCAAUUUCAUGAUAAAUCCUCAACACAGAAAUAUGUUCCGAACUUUUUUGUCUUUUCCUGCUGAAGUGCUAGAGAGUAUUUUUAGCAAAUUAGAAAAUGCUUAGAGAGUGGAUUUCAGUGGCAUUACUUAGGCAAAGCUGAGUGUGAGCAUAGGUGUUUCUAAACUAGAGCCUUAGCUUUUACUCACGACUAUAAUUUCUUGAAAAUAUUUAGGCAGUAAUCUGAUUUUCAAGUUUUCUCUAUACUUUUAUCUGAUAACUUAAGGCAUGGGCAAUCAAUAAUAUAAUCUAUUGAUAAGAUAUGUACAAAUGUGGAAAUUAUCAGUUUAUGUUGUAAACGUCUCUCAAAUCCAAGCAGCCCAGACUUUGAUGAAGUUAAGACUGAAUUUAAGUCCUAACUUUAGGACUCAAAUGCAAAGACUUUAAUCCAAAAUUUUGCCCAGUUGUCACUUAUUUCAUUCUUAAAUAUUUACUUUACCGGUAAUGGCAGACUUAGCAAACAUGCUAAAUUUUGUGUAUAGUGAAAGUCUAUGCCUUCUUACUGUGAUAGAGACUCAGAAAUGACAAGGUAGCAGCACUGAAUCUUCAUGUUUUAUAAUGAAAUAUUGCUGUUUCUCUUAGUCAUUUCCAAAAUGAUUUUGAAUCAGCUUCCACAACAGAUCAGGAAAAUAGAGUGGGGACCUUUGCAAAAUAACUGACCAUUACUCUUCCUAGAUUAUUACAGCAAAUGCAAGAGUUAAUUAUGUUUUCAGGUUGGAUUUUCAUUAACAUGUGCUUCUUCAAGUGACUAGAAGUCACUAGGAGGAGUUGUGAAGGAUUCUAGGCAGAACACUAGAGUGAAAUAAGCACAGGAGCUCUGGAGUGAAAAAGGCAUUGGUUUUAUCUUGUAAUAAAACUGCUGUUUCUUUGUUAAAAGAAACACACUUUCACAGAGAUUUUUUUUUAUUAUUUCUGUGGCUUGAUGAUCUUAAUUUACACUGUCUUGGUUAUGUAAAAUACUUGUUUUUUAAAAAAAGGCAUACAACAUGAUGUUUGAUAUUCUUGGAUUUUCUUACCGAUGUGUGAAAAAAGAACAGCAGUCAAGUGAAAGUGGUGUCUGGUAGCUAUGCACACUCACCCAAAUAAUCUGCCUGUGGAUCUGAUUCAAUAGGCAAAACUUAAAUGUCUUGUUCUGAAGCCAUGUUUUUACUCCAAAGCUUUGUUGUCACUGGCCAAGCAGAAUAAUUCAGAAUGACUUUUUACUCAACAUCCAGCUUUAAAUUGUAGCUUUACAAGCCUACUGUUUAAUGAUAUCACAGGACUGAAAUAUAACCUCUCUAGAAGAUCUUUUAUUUGCAGAUCAGAAACACCAUUUCAGAGAUAUAGUGUUUGUGAAAGAGGAUCCAGGGCCAAAACAUCAUAGUGAGAUAGGGUCAGGAAUCCUCUAUGAUAAAUUCCAGGAAACGGAUAGGAAGUCUAAAAGCAUGAUUUCAAUGUACAGUAGUAAUUACGGGAGUACACCACUGCUGUGUUUGCCACUGACUCUGCUUUCUUUUGAAGGAGGCAAUACAGCAGGUACUAUGGGAGAGGAGGGGUUGUCCCCACUCUGCUUGUCCAAGACCUGUAUUAGCAUGAUGAACCUGUGUACCAAGGGAUGCACCUUUGUCAGAUCAGCCAGGAAAGCUGCUACUUUGCUGCUAUAUUUGUGGUUUUGCCCUGGAAUGAACAUUGAUUCUUUCAUGGAUUUUGAUUGCAGCUCCUGAAUUUUCAUUGAUGAGUAUCUUAAACCCCAAAUCAUAAAAAUUCAAAAAUUCAUAAACAUUUCAGUUGAGCAGGCAGAGAAAUAUUUAGUUGCUGAUGCUGAGGAAAGUUAGUCUAUGAGAGUUGGGAGAUAACUCAGUGGGUGUAAAGCUGGCGAGGCAGGUAUCCUCUGACUGCUUUAUUGCAGCCUAUAGUCAGCCUGCAUUUUGCUCAGCGUGAUGAAAUAUUCUGCAAUUUAUUCCUUUUUAUUUUUUUUUUUUUUUUUUUUGUGAAUCACUUGUUUUCUACUUAGUAUUUCUCACUGCUCCCGAGUGAAGAAAGGUUUAAUAUUUUUCCUACACAGUACAUUUUUUACCCUCCUUCAGUUCAGUCUCUCUCCGGCCAGUGGCUGGGGAAUGACUCCAGGCAAAGCUGCCUCACAGCCCUGCCGUGGCAGCUGGGCUGCCUGCAGACCCAGGUACCGCAGAUUGACAGUGAUGGGACAGCCCUUCAGCCCUCCCUCCAUGUGUCUUUCCCUCCUCACAUGUAUUUGUCUUUGUGUAUAUUGGCAAUCUCCUGGAAUAGCGACUCUCCCAACUGAGCCCCUGUGCAAGGCUCAGAGUUUGGAGCAUCAGACAUCUCCUCUCGUCCAUCCCCAUUGCAAAACCUCAUCACGCCGCCGCAGGAAGAAGCAUAUAUUUGGACUCACUUCAAUGGAAAGUCUUAUUUCCCAUACCAAGUUAACAGUGAACCAUUCCUGGAGCAAGUGAAUCUGAGGACAAAAUUUGGGCUUCUAGGCCAAGUUCCUCAAGACUGAAACAUUGGAGGGAAGGCAAAAUGCCACUCAAAUUUACAGGGUGGUAUAAAUAAAUAAUAUUCGUGGAAAAUGAAACUACACUGAAAGUCAUCCUUGCUUUGAGUACAAACAAGGAGCUCCUUGUGCAGCGAGUGGAACAAAUGAAGCCUGGUUUCCUAUGGAUUUGUGCCUCCUGGUUGGAUUCCCUUGUGUCUAGUAAAGUAUUCCUGCAUGUGAAAACCGGUGACGUCACUGAUUGCUUUGACCGCCGCUGUAACCCAGACCAAAGAACAUCAGGCAAUAUUUUGCACUGAGUUCCAGCUACAGAUGCAAAAUAGCAACUGAAGGUCAGGACUUUGAUUGAUGUCUAGUCUGUAAAAAGAUAAACAGCUACCCGUGAAGAUAAGAAACCGCCUGCCUGAUGGAAAUAAAGGGAUCCAGUGAAGAAUGGGGAGACCGCAGACUCUAAUUUUACAAUUGGCCCCAACGGACAUGCGAGGGGUGGGAAGCUUAGAUUGUAAGGGUAUAAUUGUCUGAGGGUUUUUUUGCUGAGGGUCCCUCCUCUCAAGGCACCCAGCUCAAGCUGCUCUAUGCUGUACCUUGCAAAUAAAUUACUUAUUUAAGACAA